UACGUAGGGGGCAAGCGUUGUCCGGAAUCAUUGGGCGUAAAGAGCGUGUAGGCGGCUCGAUAAGUCUGCUGUGAAAGUCCAGGGCUCAACCCUGGAAGGCCGGUGGAAACUGUCUGGCUAGAGUCCGGAAGAGGCGAGUGGAAUUCCCGGUGUAGCGGUGAAAUGCGCAGAUAUCGGGAGGAACACCAAUGGCGAAGGCAGCUCGCUGGGACGGUACUGACGCUGAGACGCGAAAGCGUGGGGAGCGAACAGG
This 253-nucleotide ribosomal RNA is filed under the name uncultured bacterium. Its description in RNAcentral is "partial 16S ribosomal RNA". It matches the Rfam family "Bacterial small subunit ribosomal RNA", at positions 524 to 776 of the family's 1533-position model. The record is from RNAcentral.